CCUACGGGUGGCAGCAGUGAGGAAUAUUGGUCAAUGGGCGCGAGCCUGAACCAGCCAAGUAGCGUGAAGGAUGACUGCCCUACGGGUGGUAAACUUCAUUUAUAAAGGAAUAAAGUGAGGCACGUGUGCCUUGUUGUAUGUGCUUUAUGAAUAAGGAUCGGCUAACUCCGUGCCAGCAGCCGCGGUAAUACGGGGGUUCCGAGCGUUAUCCGGAUUGAUUGGGUUUAAAGGGAGCGUAGAUGGGUUGUUAAGUCAGUGGUGAAGGUUUGCGGCUCAACCGUAAAAUUGCCCUUGAUACUGGCAGUCUUGAGUACAGUUGAGGUAGGCGGCAUUCCUGGUGUAGCGGUGAAAUGCUUAGAUAUCACGAAGAACUCCGAUUGCGAAGGCAGCUUACUAAACUGCCACUGACAUUGAUGCUCGAAAGUGUGGGUAUCAAACAGGAUUAGAUACCCGAGUAGUC
This 460-nucleotide ribosomal RNA is filed under the name uncultured bacterium. Its description in RNAcentral is "partial 16S ribosomal RNA". It matches the Rfam family "Bacterial small subunit ribosomal RNA", at positions 338 to 795 of the family's 1533-position model. The record is from RNAcentral.